CGAGCACACAGCCAGCUCUCUCGGGCCUCCUCUCAGUGAAGGGAAAAAAAGACAUUAAAAUCAUCAGUGGAUUUAGCUGUGUCCAAUGUGAACAGGCGAGAGCCGGCCCCCUAAGGACCCACCAACUCCGCCACAACCGGACAAAGGUAGCAGUAGAAGCAUGCAUGAGCGCACAUAGACAGCUAGGCAAAGGGCUGGGGCUAGUUUCUAAGGCUCCCCCUGGAG
Alosa alosa (allis shad) is the source of this 225-nucleotide long non-coding RNA. RefSeq lists it as uncharacterized. NCBI's taxonomy places the organism in Eukaryota, Metazoa, Chordata, Actinopteri, Clupeiformes, Clupeidae. The transcript has 3 exons. The record is from RefSeq and is a predicted model, not a curated record.